AAUUGACAAGAGGUACGUUAAUUUUGGCUUCUGCAUCCUAUUUAUACUGAUAGUUCAUUGAACUUUCACCAAAAGAUGGAUAUUACUUUCUGAUGACAAAAUAAGAACAUUUCCAAAGUGGGUUAUUUUCCAGUAUGUAAUCUUGAAAGUUAUCAGGAGGCAUCGCAUUAUGUAUUAUGUCAUUGUAAUGUUUAAGCAUACAUAAUACAAAAGACAAGAAUUAACAGGUUUACCUUGAAAUUCCUCCAUCACCUCAAUUUCAACCACUGUCAUUGGGAUUCUGAAUAUGUAAAAAUAAUCCAGGCUGAGCAAUGGCUAUCUAAUAAUUCCAUGCAUAUUUGUUGUAAAGUGAAAGUAACAUUGCAGUUGAGGAUUAUAAUCCCUUAUGUUUACUGUACUAUGGCACCAGUUGGCUGUGAAUGGACAUUAAUAGCACAGCUAAGGUAUGUUUUACCCAUGAAUGAAUAUUAAUGAGACUUGGCUACGUUAUACUGGAAGAUUAAAGUCCUCCUCCUCUCAUGUAUCUGGGGAACUUAAGCAUAUUACAUGUCUUUAUCAACCUGACAGCAGGAACAGCCUCUUUCUCAGGUUUCUAUGUUGAGUUAUGACCUCAUCAUCUCGUUUGUACAAAAGGGAAAAAUUAAAUUAGUUAGAGUAAUGAACCCAGGUGCUUUUCAUGCGAAUUUUUUCCACUCAUUGUUCCCCAAGUUGUUUAAGGGAGUAAUCUGCCGAACAUACUGUCGAAUCACUUAAAUCCAGGCCAUCAGAGCAAGCUGCCAGGGGUCUGGUCUUUUAAAUGCGCCUCCUCAUGGGGGUCCUAGAUCAAAGAUGAAAGUAUGCUGAACGGUGUGGGAGAUGGGUAAAGGGGAGGCAUGAAGGGAGUAGGGAGUGCAAUACAUCAAAUUAACAAAUUUGCUUUCCCUUUCCCAGUAGGCAACGGAGUAAAUUCUCUGGCACUUAAAUUGGUAUUGGAAUGACAAGAAAGGAGAGCAGGAGGAGUCAAAUGGCAGAAAGAGGUUCUCGGUUGCAGCAGCUGGUAAAGACAACGCUCUCACUGUGCGAUGAGAGACAUAAAUUUAAUGUCAGUAUCGCAAGGCAACACCUGGUUAUGCCUAUGCCUGUCAUUGUUGGCAUCAUAGCUCAUUUUGUCAAUGAAUUACCAUCCUCUUGGGCUAAGGCAGAAAGGAAAAUGUGGAUUCUUUCAUCCCAGAACGAUAAUCCCUAGUGGCUCUAAUGUGGUACUACAUAUCCAUUUUGAAAAUUAAAUAUACCGUUGUUUGGUUCAGCAAGGCAGACACCUGCCUCCUCUAGUAAAAAUGUCAUACUCCAGAGCUGAGAGAUUUCCCUGAGGAACAACAUCACAGUAUUGCCUUGUAACUAUAACUUAAUAUCAUGUCAAAAUCUCCCGGGGAUGAUGGUAAAGCCACAGAAAAAGGGGAAAACAAGAGUAAGUCGUAUGCUUGGAGAAACAGAUGGAGGCCAUGAGCAGGGGGAAGAAAUGGAGAGAGGCAACAGAAGGGAGUGCUGAGGAAGGAAAGGGAAACUCGACACACAAAGUGAAACGAAACACGUUCCACCCCCAGAUAAUAAAAGCAACAUGGGAACAAUAAAGGCCUAUCAGGCCAUUUGAAAAGACAAUGUGAAACAACAUGGGAAUGCCUUUUAGUAUUAAAUUUUCAUGUCAGCUCAA
Molecule: long non-coding RNA, 1690 nt
Organism: Poecilia latipinna (sailfin molly)
Lineage: Eukaryota; Metazoa; Chordata; Actinopteri; Cyprinodontiformes; Poeciliidae
Exons: 2
Source: RefSeq, a predicted model, not a curated record